AGUCUGUGGUGGUGGAUGCUCUAUCAUAUCAGGAGUCUGUGGUGGUGGAUGCUCUAUCAUAUCAGGAGUCUGUGGUGGUGGAUGCUCUAUCAUAUCAGGAGUCUGUGGUGGUGGAUGCUCUACCAUAUCAGGAGUCUGACUAAGUACCUGUGCCUUAACCUCUCUGUGUCUAGUUCAAAAGACCUGAAAGACCUGCUGUAAGCAGGCUCAGGUUAAGAUUUUAAAAGAACCUUUAAGGUGAGCAACACAACACAAUAUAAAUCUUUAUUAUUAUUGUACGCUGUACAGUUAGAAUAAACUUGCAUGCUCAGAAGCCACGUAUGAUUACAUCGCCUACAGGUUGCCUGAUGCUGAACUUCAGGCAGCUGCGUGUGACCGUGGAACAGCCGCCUGUGGGAGGUCGUUGUGUUGCUGUUAGGAGUUUGGGUCGGAGUCCUGGAUCUAUGGGAAUUCUUUCCUUGAAGCUCCUGAUCACAUAACUAUACUGGCAGUCGGCUUCUGCUCACCCGCUUGCAACUCAUGCUGUCAUUCUCCCAGACUUCUGGUUGUUUCUCCACCAUUCUGCUGUCUCCUGUCUGCGCUACGACUUCAGACCGGCCUUCUGAUCUUUAAACACUAAAACCUGUGGCUCCAUCUCUGUGGCGUUUCUCAUUCUCUAAGCUUCUGGUUCCUGAUCUCCAGCUGUUACCUCUUCAGUCAUCCAUCAAACACUUUAAUAAACUGUUUUUAGCUCA
Molecule: long non-coding RNA, 734 nt
Organism: Nothobranchius furzeri (turquoise killifish)
Lineage: Eukaryota; Metazoa; Chordata; Actinopteri; Cyprinodontiformes; Nothobranchiidae
Source: RefSeq, a predicted model, not a curated record